This 1346-nucleotide ribosomal RNA is filed under the name uncultured bacterium. RNAcentral's name for it is "partial 16S ribosomal RNA". It matches the Rfam family "Bacterial small subunit ribosomal RNA", at positions 28 to 1381 of the family's 1533-position model. The record is from RNAcentral.
GACGAACGUUGGCGGCGUGCUUAACACAUGCAAGUCGAACGGAAAGGCCCUGCUUUUGUGGGGUGCUCGAGUGGCGAACGGGUGAGUAACACGUGAGUAACCUGCCCUUGACUUUGGGAUAACUUCAGGAAACUGGGGCUAAUACCGGAUAGGAGCUCCUGCUGCAUGGUGGGGGUUGGAAAGUUUCGGCGGUUGGGGAUGGACUCGCGGCUUAUCAGCUUGUUGGUGGGGUAGUGGCUUACCAAGGCUUUGACGGGUAGCCGGCCUGAGAGGGUGACCGGCCACAUUGGGACUGAGAUACGGCCCAGACUCCUACGGGAGGCAGCAGUGGGGAAUAUUGCACAAUGGGCGGAAGCCUGAUGCAGCAACGCCGCGUGCGGGAUGACGGCCUUCGGGUUGUAAACCGCUUUCGCCUGUGACGAAGCGUGAGUGACGGUAAUGGGUAAAGAAGCACCGGCUAACUACGUGCCAGCAGCCGCGGUGAUACGUAGGGUGCGAGCGUUGUCCGGAUUUAUUGGGCGUAAAGGGCUCGUAGGUGGUUGAUCGCGUCGGAAGUGUAAUCUUGGGGCUUAACCCUGAGCGUGCUUUCGAUACGGGUUGACUUGAGGAAGGUAGGGGAGAAUGGAAUUCCUGGUGGAGCGGUGGAAUGCGCAGAUAUCAGGAGGAACACCAGUGGCGAAGGCGGUUCUCUGGGCCUUUCCUGACGCUGAGGAGCGAAAGCGUGGGGAGCGAACAGGCUUAGAUACCCUGGUAGUCCACGCUGUAAACGGUGGGUACUAGGUGUGGGGUCCAUUCCACGGGUUCCGUGCCGUAGCUAACGCUUUAAGUACCCCGCCUGGGGAGUACGGCCGCAAGGCUAAAACUCAAAGGAAUUGACGGGGCCCCGCACAAGCGGCGGAGCAUGCGGAUUAAUUCGAUGCAACGCGUAGAACCUUACCUGGGUUUGACAUGGAUCGGGAGUGCUCAGAGAUGGGUGUGCCUCUUUUGGGGUCGGUUCACAGGUGGUGCAUGGCUGUCGUCAGCUCGUGUCGUGAGAUGUUGGGUUAAGUCCCGCAACGAGCGCAACCCUUGUUCACUGUUGCCAGCACGUUAUGGUGGGGACUCAGUGGAGACCGCCGGGGUCAACUCGGAGGAAGGUGGGGAUGACGUCAAGUCAUCAUGCCCCUUAUGUCCAGGGCUUCACGCAUGCUACAAUGGCUGGUACAGAGAGUGGCGAGCCUGUGAGGGUGAGCGAAUCUCGGAAAGCCGGUCUCAGUUCGGAUUGGGGUCUGCAACUCGACCUCAUGAAGUCGGAGUCGCUAGUAAUCGCAGAUCAGCAACGCUGCGGUGAAUACGUUCCCGGGGCU